GAUGAACGCUGGCGGCGUGCCUAAUACAUGCAAGUCGAACGCUUUGUGGUUCAACUGAUUUGAAGAGCUUGCUCAGAUAUGACGAUGGACAUUGCAAAGAGUGGCGAACGGGUGAGUAACACGUGGGAAACCUACCUCUUAGCAGGGGAUAACAUUUGGAAACAGAUGCUAAUACCGUAUAACAAUGACAACCGCAUGGUUGUUAUUUAAAAGAUGGUUCUGCUAUCACUAAGAGAUGGUCCCGCGGUGCAUUAGCUAGUUGGUAAGGUAAUGGCUUACCAAGGCGAUGAUGCAUAGCCGAGUUGAGAGACUGAUCGGCCACAAUGGGACUGAGACACGGCCCAUACUCCUACGGGAGGCAGCAGUAGGGAAUCUUCCACAAUGGGCGAAAGCCUGAUGGAGCAACGCCGCGUGUGUGAUGAAGGGUUUCGGCUCGUAAAACACUGUUGUAAGAGAAGAAUGACAUUGAGAGUAACUGUUCAAUGUGUGACGGUAUCUUACCAGAAAGGAACGGCUAAAUACGUGCCAGCAGCCGCGGUAAUACGUAUGUUCCAAGCGUUAUCCGGAUUUAUUGGGCGUAAAGCGAGCGCAGACGGUUAUUUAAGUCUGAAGUGAAAGCCCUCAGCUCAACUGAGGAAUUGCUUUGGAAACUGGAUGACUUGAGUGCAGUAGAGGAAAGUGGAACUCCAUGUGUAGCGGUGAAAUGCGUAGAUAUAUGGAAGAACACCAGUGGCGAAGGCGGCUUUCUGGACUGUAACUGACGUUGAGGCUCGAAAGUGUGGGUAGCAAACAGGAUUAGAUACCCUGGUAGUCCACACCGUAAACGAUGAGUGCUAGGUGUUUGAGGGUUUCCGCCCUUAAGUGCCGCAGCUAACGCAUUAAGCACUCCGCCUGGGGAGUACGACCGCAAGGUUGAAACUCAAAGGAAUUGACGGGGACCCGCACAAGCGGUGGAGCAUGUGGUUUAAUUCGAAGCAACGCGAAGAACCUUACCAGGUCUUGACAUCCCUUGACAACUCCAGAGAUGGAGCGUUCCCUUCGGGGACAAGGUGACAGGUGGUGCAUGGUUGUCGUCAGCUCGUGUCGUGAGAUGUUGGGUUAAGUCCCGCAACGAGCGCAACCCUUAUUACUAGUUGCCAGCAUUCAGUUGGGCACUCUAGUGAGACUGCCGGUGACAAACCGGAGGAAGGUGGGGAUGACGUCAAAUCAUCAUGCCCCUUAUGACCUGGGCUACACACGUGCUACAAUGGCGUAUACAACGAGUUGCCAACCCGCGAGGGUGAGCUAAUCUCUUAAAGUACGUCUCAGUUCGGAUUGUAGGCUGCAACUCGCCUACAUGAAGUCGGAAUCGCUAGUAAUCGCGGAUCAGCACGCCGCGGUGAAUACGUUCCCGGGUCUUGUACACACCGCCCGUCACACCAUGAGAGUUUGUAACACCCAAAGCCGGUGGGGUAACCUUCGGGAGCCAGC
Molecule: ribosomal RNA, 1470 nt
Filed under: Weissella koreensis
Lineage: Bacteria; Bacillati; Bacillota; Bacilli; Lactobacillales; Lactobacillaceae
Description: bacterial SSU rRNA
Rfam family: Bacterial small subunit ribosomal RNA
Source: RNAcentral